AGAUUAGUCAUGACUUUUGGUAUAACAACCUAGGGGAGAGAAAACAGUAAGAGCUGGUCCUGGGGUGAAGGGUGGGAGGAGGGGGAAGACAAGGAGGUGGAGAGGUGGGGGUGAACCGGAGAAGAGCUAGGUGUAGAUAGGACCCCGCCUGGUCAGGAGAUGGGGCUGCCAUGGUUGACAGAUCCCUUAGGUUUGGAUGAUGACCCAAGAUCCAACUCAGCCCUUUGACUUUCCCUGGAGCAUUGACAGGGAUCCAACUUCAAAUGAAAUCAACUUCACUGAUUGCACAUCUGCCAGCCGUCACAUACAUCUUGAAGGAGAGAGUGCCUGGACCGUGAGAAUAUCCUGCCCUGGGGCCAGGGAUGUGAGAAAAGGGGGAUGGAUAAGGGUGCUACUUCAUUCCUUAUUCGUCCCACCUAUUUCUUUCUUAGGAACAGAUGGGGGCCGAGAGAUAUCACAACCCCAGCGAAUAAAGGGACGCUUUUGUCACAAGGGGAAAACAGAAGGGUUUGGCGGACAGAGCAGGACUGAACAUAUAAGUCAGAUUUCUCACCGUUGGAGAAGAAAGUACAAAUAUAGAAAGAAGAAAGGCUAAAAUGAACCUUGUGGAAUUGGAUUAGAAUGGGAAAUAUUAAUAUGAAUUCAUGGUUUGUGCACGUUUGUAUAUGUGUAUAUACAUACUUUCCAGCUCAGUCCACCGAAAGGGGCUAGAAAGACUAACACCUCAGUAGCAAUGGGCUCAUCUAGAGCCCAGAUCUUGGUUUUUGAUCCACACUAAAAGAAACCAGGGCUUGAAGGCUGGGGUUGGGAAAGUACACAUAAGCUUGGAAGAUCUUGUUGUGACAGAAAUUAAAGAAGUACUCAAAGAAUUUUGGCGACAUGUCAAAAGGACACAGCAGCAAGAUUGAAGUGGUUCCCUCUGGCCAAAUCUGGGACAAUUUGAGCAUCAAAAUAAAUAAUGAGACUAUGGAGUAUAACCCAUCGAGUAAAAUAGGAACCCAUGAGUUAUACUGGAGAAAUUUGUGAUCAAAGUUAACAUCAUCAGUAAAAAGACAACAGAUAUCAUAUGUCUUCUGAUAUGAUGCACUGAGAAGAACACAACAUCACUUAUCUGAUAUUCCUGCCUAAAAAAUGCAUAAACUUAGUUAAUUAUGAGAAAACAUCAAACAAACUCAAAUUAAAGGAUAUUCCACAAAGUAACUGGAUUGUACUCUUCAAAAAUGUCAAGAUCAUAAAGGAUAAGGAAAGACUGAGGAAUUGUUCUGGAAUAAAGACCCGAGACAUGACAACUGAAUGUUAUGCAUGGUCCUAGAUUUUCUUUGCUUAUAAUGAAUAUUAUUAGGACAGUUGGAAAAUUUAAAUAUAGCCAUUUAGCAUCAUAUCAGUAUUAAUUUCUUGAUUAUGAUACUGAUUGUGGUUAUGGAAGAGAAUGUCCUUGUUUUUAGUAAACAUACACUAAAGUAUUUAGGGAUAGAUAGAUAAAGCAAAUGUGAUAAAAUGCUAAUAUUUGAGGAAUCUAAGUGAAAGUUAUAUGAGAUUCCUUGUACCAUUCUUGCAACUUUUCUGUAAAUCUGAAAUUAUUUCAAAAUAAAAACUGAAAAAAUCACAAUGUUAUUUAGAUUACUAGUAACUAGAUGGUAUUAGAGAAGAGUGUUAUAAUAGUUUCAUUUUAAAAGGUCAGUGUUUAUAAUACUCAAGAAAUCAAAUCCUUUGCAACUGUUUAACUUACAAUGAAAAUUUUAGAUAACUUAAAAAUGUGUGACAAUUUUUAGGAUAGUGAAACUAUUCUGUAUACUAUAAUGGUGGAAACAUGUCAGUUCGCAUUUGUCAAAACCCAUAGACAGUGUAACAGCAGGCAUGAACUCUAAUGUAAACUAUGAGCUUUGGGUGAUAAAGAUGUGUCAGCAUAGAUUCAUCAAUUGUAACAAAUGUGCCACUCUGGUGGGGAUGUUCAUAGCGAGGGAGGUUGUACAAGUGUAGGGGGAGGGAGUAUAUGGGAACUCUGUACUUUCUAUUUGGUUUUGCUGUGAACCUAAAGCUACUCUAAAAAAUAAAGUCUAGGGGCCGGCCCAGUGGUGCAGCGGUUAAGUUUGCACGUUUUGCUUCUCUGUGGCCCAGGGUUUGCCAGUUUGGAUCCCGGGUGCAGACACGGCACCGCUUGGCAAAAGUCAUGCUGUGGUAGCAUCCCACGUAUAAAGUAGAGGAAGAUGGCAUGGAUGUUAGCUCAGGGUCAGCCUUCCUCAGCAAAAAAAUAG
RNAcentral lists this long non-coding RNA (2255 nucleotides) under Equus caballus (horse). RNAcentral's name for it is "lncRNA (ENSECAG00000057060.1)". The record is from RNAcentral. Lineage: Eukaryota; Metazoa; Chordata; Mammalia; Perissodactyla; Equidae.